RNAcentral lists this ribosomal RNA (466 nucleotides) under uncultured bacterium. RNAcentral's name for it is "bacterial SSU rRNA". It matches the Rfam family "Bacterial small subunit ribosomal RNA", at positions 917 to 1382 of the family's 1533-position model. The record is from RNAcentral.
GGGCCCGCACAAGCAGCGGAGCAUGUGGUUUAAUUCGAAGCAACGCGAAGAACCUUACCAAGGCUUGACAUCCUCUGACGCGCGUAGAGAUACGCGUUUCCCUUCGGGGACAGGGAGACAGGUGGUGCAUGGUUGUCGUCAGCUCGUGUCGUGAGAUGUUGGGUUAAGUCCCGCAACGAGCGCAACCCUUAUCAUUAGUUGCCAGCGAGUAAAGUCGGGAACUCUAAUGAGACUGCCGAGGACAACUCGGAGGAAGGUGGGGAUGAUGUCAAAUCAGCAUGCCCUUUAUGUCUUGGGCUACACACGUGCUACAAUGGCCGGUACAAAGAGGAGCGAGCCUGUGAAGGUGAGCGAAUCUCAAAAAGCCGGUCUCAGUUCAGAUUGUGGGCUGCAACCCGCCCACAUGAAGUCGGAGUUGCUAGUAAUCGCGAAUCAGCAUGUCGCGGUGAAUGCGUUCCCGGGCCUU